RNAcentral lists this transfer RNA (93 nucleotides) under Drechslerella stenobrocha 248. It matches the Rfam family "tRNA". Rfam says of the family: Transfer RNA (tRNA) molecules are approximately 80 nucleotides in length. Lineage: Eukaryota; Fungi; Ascomycota; Orbiliomycetes; Orbiliales; Orbiliaceae. The record is from Rfam by way of RNAcentral.
GCUCGUAUAGCUCAGCGGUAGAGCGUCUCACUCGUAUCGUCCCGACGAUUGGGUGAAAUGAGAAGGUCCUAGGUUCAAGUCCUAGUUCGAGCA